RNAcentral lists this ribosomal RNA (857 nucleotides) under Spirosphaera floriformis. RNAcentral's name for it is "LSU rRNA". It matches the Rfam family "Eukaryotic large subunit ribosomal RNA", at positions 57 to 933 of the family's 3401-position model. The record is from RNAcentral. Lineage: Eukaryota; Fungi; Ascomycota; Leotiomycetes; Helotiales.
AAAAGAAACCAACAGGGAUUACCUCAGUAACGGCGAGUGAAGCGGUAACAGCUCAAAUUUGAAAUCUGGCUCUUUCAGGGUCCGAGUUGUAAUUUGUAGACGAUGCUUUGGGUGUGGUGCCGGUCUAAGUUCCUUGGAACAGGACGUCAUAGAGGGUGAGAAUCCCGUAUGUGAUCGGUCGCCUUCGCCCGUGUAAAGCUCGUUCGACGAGUCGAGUUGUUUGGGAAUGCAGCUCAAAAUGGGUGGUAAAUUUCAUCUAAAGCUAAAUAUUGGCCAGAGACCGAUAGCGCACAAGUAGAGUGAUCGAAAGAUGAAAAGCACUUUGGAAAGAGAGUUAAACAGUACGUGAAAUUGUUGAAAGGGAAGCGCUUGCAACCAGACUUGGGCUGUCGCAAUCAUCCGGGGCUCGCCCCGGUGCACUUGUGGCGCACAGGCCAGCAUCAGUUUCGGUGGUGGAUAAAGGCCUUGGGAAUGUAGCUUCUUUCGGGGAGUGUUAUAGCCCUCGGUGCAAUGCCGCCUACCGGGACUGAGGACCGCGCUUCGGCUAGGAUGCUGGCGUAAUGGUUGUAAGCGACCCGUCUUGAAACACGGACCAAGGAGUCUAACAUCUAUGCGAGUGUUUGGGUGUCAAACCCAUACGCGUAAUGAAAGUGAACGGAGGUGAGAACCCGUUAGGGUGCAUCAUCGACCGAUCCUGAUGUCUUCGGAUGGAUUUGAGUAAGAGCAUAGCUGUUGGGACCCGAAAGAUGGUGAACUAUGCCUAAAUAGGGUGAAGCCAGAGGAAACUCUGGUGGAGGCUCGCAGCGGUUCUGACGUGCAAAUCGAUCGUCAAAUUUGGGUAUAGGGGCGAAAGACUA